UACAGAGGUCUCAAGCGUUGUUCGGAUUCAUUGGGCGUAAAGGGUGCGUAGGUGGCGCUGUAAGUCGGGUGUGAAAUUUCGGAGCUUAACUCCGAAACUGCAUUCGAUACUGCGGUGCUUGAGGACUGGAGAGGAGACUGGAAUUCAGGUGUAGCAGUGAAAUGCGUAGAGAUCAUAGGAAGACCAGUGGCGAAGGCGGGUCUCUGGACAGUUCCUGACGCUGAGGCACGAAGGCAGGGGAGCAAACGGGAUUA
RNAcentral lists this ribosomal RNA (254 nucleotides) under uncultured bacterium. RNAcentral describes it as "partial 16S ribosomal RNA". It matches the Rfam family "Bacterial small subunit ribosomal RNA", at positions 524 to 780 of the family's 1533-position model. The record is from RNAcentral.